GGCUUUCCCUCCUUCAGCUCCAGAGGUCGGGUAAACACUGAGCUGGACACAAUCUGUCCCAGCGUGCACUCCAUGCCCCCGAGGAAGUCAUCGUCGCUGAGCUCAGCAGACUUGUUGUCGAUGUCGUACACGCCGAACUUCAGCUUCUGCACCUUCUCAAAGUAGUAGUCAACGAGCAGCUUCUUGGAGAAUUCCGGGUCAUGGCAGUUCUUAAUCCUCUCCGUGCGAUCUAACUCAGCCCAGCAGCCUCCCACGUCCUGCAGGAGGACGCACAGCGGGUCCGACUUGGAGCCGACGUCGCGGUCGAGGAGGCGGCGGCAGUUCACGGACAGCUGCACCCGGCUCACGCACUGCGCCAUCGAGGGAUCUGUACGGGAAAAAGGGUUAAGAACGGCGCUACACCGCCCCCGGGCCCCGCUCCGCGCCGAGCCCAGCGCCACCGACCGCGCAGCGCCACAAAAUGGCCGCCUCGCUGCGGCGCCGCCACCCGCCGCCAGGGAGGGGCGGGGCUGAG
Molecule: long non-coding RNA, 514 nt
Filed under: Gallus gallus (chicken)
Lineage: Eukaryota; Metazoa; Chordata; Aves; Galliformes; Phasianidae
Source: RNAcentral